GACGAACGCUGGCGGCGUGCUUAACACAUGCAAGUCGAGCGGUAAGGCCCUUUCGGGGGUACACGAGCGGCGAACGGGUGAGUAACACGUGGGUGACCUGCCCUCAGCUCUGGGAUAAGCCUGGGAAACCGGGUCUAAUACCGGAUAUGACUCCAUGACGCAUGUUGUGGGGUGAAAGCCUUGUGCGGCUGAGGAUGGGCCCGCGGCCUAUCAGCUUGUUGGUGGGGUGAUGGCCUACCAAGGCGACGACGGGUAGCCGGCCUGAGAGGGCGACCGGCCACACUGGGACUGAGACACGGCCCAGACUCUACGGGAGGCAGCAGUGGGGAAUCUUGCGCAAUGGGCGAAAGCCUGACGCAGCGACGCCGCGUGA
RNAcentral lists this ribosomal RNA (373 nucleotides) under uncultured bacterium. RNAcentral's name for it is "bacterial SSU rRNA". It matches the Rfam family "Bacterial small subunit ribosomal RNA", at positions 28 to 404 of the family's 1533-position model. The record is from RNAcentral.